Triplophysa dalaica is the source of this 1962-nucleotide long non-coding RNA. RefSeq lists it as uncharacterized. The transcript is spliced from 4 exons. Lineage: Eukaryota; Metazoa; Chordata; Actinopteri; Cypriniformes; Nemacheilidae. The record is from RefSeq and is a predicted model, not a curated record.
GUGUUUGUCGUAGUUGUGUGUGUCCAUGUAACUAUGAUACCCAGAUAGCAGGGGACUCCGCGCCGGAUCCGUUUUCAAACCGGCAAAUGCGCGUUACAGUCGCAUCCGUUUCACUGCAUUAGUACAGAUCCAGACUGAGUCCGGUUUCAGUGGGAGAACGACGGUCGUUCAGCAGAUGCAGCCCGUAUCUGUGUAACCGAACGCGCGAAGUUUUCUGAAGUGAAGUGGAGGCGGCCCGCAGCGGUGACGUUAUUCCUCAUAAACUCACACAGCGUGUUGUCAAACUGUUCUAUUAAUGAAUUAAUUCUUCAUUUAUUACAUUGCAUAACGUUACAGCUUAACUUAAAGUGGUUGUGAGUUUUUCUGAGUUAGAUCUGUAUGUAACUCGGAUGCUAACUCGUAUGUUAUCAGACCAUGCUAACAUGAAGAUGGCCCAGAUCUUUAAGAAUAUUAUUGACAAAUUUGAACUUUUAUCAAAUUUCACUGCUAGAGUCAAGAUAACACUACACUGUAAGUGUGUGAUGAUUUAACAGUUCGCGAGCCAUUUACUCAAGUAACGUUAAAGAGAAUAUUGAAUGCGCUGUUGAAUGUGUGUUCAUGCUUGAGGGAGAAUUUAUAAUGCGAAUAAUAUAUUGAUCAUUCAAAUUAACAUUAAUGAAAAGAGAUUUUUGUUCCUAGUUUUGAUUGCAGCGUUGAGUAUUACAACACCUGGGAGACAGCGCUUGAGGUAAUGACCAAUCAGAAGUUUAACAACAGAGUCCAGACAGACCUACGAUGUUCCACAAGAGAGCCGGCAAAGGAGUCCUCAUGUUUCAUUGUCCUGUGCACGUUCAUUGUUUGCUGUAUGAGAUGUUGCUGUCUUGUAUGCUGUUCCUUGUUGAAGUCACCUUGUUACCUUGUUCCUGUUUCCUGUUACCCUGAGUUCUAAGACGAGGAAUCACCUUUACUGAGUUCUGGAGUCAGACAGAGGGUUUGCAUUACACUUGGAAAACAACUACCAACUAAAGCCAACAAAGUUUACACAUUUUCCAUCACCAAUGACACAUAAAGCAGCAAUGAUGGUUGAUGUAAGCACUUUGAGUGUUUUGGAACUGAGGAGCCCAACAGCUGCAUUUACAUCCAUUCUUCAAACUAGUAAAUCCAUCAGGGUCAUAGUAUUGACAGGGACAGUAGAGAUGCCCAGACCUCUAGCUGCAGUUUUCUGUAUAGGAUUUUAGCUGCCCAACGGUUUGUGGCCUUGUUGGUCAUUCUUUGUUUCAUAAUUAUUUUAAACAUACAGUACUGGUUAAAAUUUAGCAAACGCUUAUGUUUUUUCACCUUUUAUAGUAAUAAUCUCAUUAAGAAUUUUUUACAAAAAUUAAAAAAAGAAUUUUAAAAUCUUAUAUACUGUAUAGUUGUGGUCAAAAGUUUACACACCCCAUGCAGAGAAAAUGUUGAGAAUGUAAGAAAAGUAGAAGUUAGUUUUUGAAUUAUUACUGCCGUGUUAUUUCACGUAACAUUUAAAUAAUGUUUUUAACACAUAAUUAUCUACAUUUAUCAAAGUAAGCCAGUUGAAGUCUUAACAUACCUGCACGACUGGUUCCUAAUACUGUACGACGUUACCUGAACCCUCAGUGAUUUUUUUAUGUUUUGUAAUAGUUGUUGAUCAAACUGCUGUCUAAAGGAUUUUUCUGUUGAACUGUGGUCAGUUUAAUGUAGUAAAUCCUUCACAAUUUUGCUUUUUCAGCAUCUUCUGCAUUAUUGACCCUUGUUCAUCAGUGACUGAAUGAUGAGAUUCAUCUUUUUAUGCAAAGGGAAAUUGAGAGACUCAUACACAACUGUUACAAAAUAUACAAACAUUUCAUAUUACUCAAGAAGUCAACACUACAUUCAAAAGUCUGGUGCACGUAAACCUUUAGGUAGGGUGACCAGUUUCAAUUGUUUUAUUUUGUUUGAAAUAAUUAAAAAAUAGAUUUAUUUAGU